AGUGAACGCUGGCGGUAGGCCUAACACAUGCAAGUCGAACGGCAGCACAGUAAGAGCUUGCUCUUACGGGUGGCGAGUGGCGGACGGGUGAGGAAUACAUCGGAAUCUACUUUUUCGUGGGGGAUAACGUAGGGAAACUUACGCUAAUACCGCAUACGACCUACGGGUGAAAGCAGGGGAUCUUCGGACCUUGCGCGAUUGAAUGAGCCGAUGUCGGAUUAGCUAGUUGGCGGGGUAAAGGCCCACCAAGGCGACGAUCCGUAGCUGGUCUGAGGGGAUGAUCAGCCACACUGGAACGGAGACACGGUCCAGACUCCUACGGGAGGCAGCAGUGGGGAAUAUUGGACAAUGGGCGCAAGCCUGAUCCAGCCAUACCGCGUGGGUGAAGAAGGCCUUCGGGUUGUAAAGCCCUUUUGUUGGGAAAGAAAAGCAGCAGGUUAAUACCCCGCUGUUCUGACGGUACCCAAAGAAUAAGCACCGGCUAACUUCGUG
RNAcentral lists this ribosomal RNA (492 nucleotides) under uncultured bacterium. RNAcentral describes it as "partial 16S ribosomal RNA". It matches the Rfam family "Bacterial small subunit ribosomal RNA", at positions 29 to 507 of the family's 1533-position model. The record is from RNAcentral.